Molecule: ribosomal RNA, 253 nt
Filed under: uncultured bacterium
Lineage: Bacteria
Description: partial 16S ribosomal RNA
Rfam family: Bacterial small subunit ribosomal RNA
Source: RNAcentral
UACGGAGGAUGCAAGCGUUAUCCGGAAUGAUUGGGCGUAAAGCGUCCGCAGGUGGCUGUGUAAGUCUGCUGUUAAAGAGUGAGGCUCAACCUCAUAAAGGCAGUGGAAACUACAUAGCUAGAGUACGUUCGGGGCAGAGGGAAUUCCUGGUGUAGCGGUGAAAUGCGUAGAGAUCAGGAAGAACACCAGUGGCGAAGGCGCUCUGCUAGGCCGUAACUGACACUGAGGGACGAAAGCUAGGGGAGCGAAUGGG